Molecule: ribosomal RNA, 789 nt
Filed under: uncultured Enterococcus sp.
Lineage: Bacteria; Bacillati; Bacillota; Bacilli; Lactobacillales; Enterococcaceae
Description: bacterial SSU rRNA
Rfam family: Bacterial small subunit ribosomal RNA
Source: RNAcentral
AGCCGAACGCCUCUUCUCCCACCGGAGCUUGCUCCACCGGGAAAAGAGGAGUGGCGAACGGGUGAGUAACACGUGGGUAACCUGCCCAUCAGAAGGGGAUAACACUUGGAAACAGGUGCUAAUACCGUAUAACAAUCGAGACCGCAUGGUUUCGUUUUGAAAGGCGCUUUACGGUGCCGCUGAUGGAUGGACCUGCGGUGCAUUAGCUAGUUGGUGAGGUAACGGCUCACCAAGGCCACGAUGCAUAGCCGACCUGAGAGGGUGAUCGGCCACAUUGGGACUGAGACACGGCCCAAACUCCUACGGGAGGCAGCAGUAGGGAAUCUUCGGCAAUGGACGAAAGUCUGACCGAGCAACGCCGCGUGAGUGAAGAAGGUUUUCGGAUCGUAAAACUCUGUUGUUAGAGAAGAACAAGGGUGAGAGUAACUGUUCACCCCUUGACGGUAUCUAACCAGAAAGCCACGGCUAACUACGUGCCAGCAGCCGCGGUAAUACGUAGGUGGCAAGCGUUGUCCGGAUUUAUUGAGCGUAAAGCGAGCGCAGGCGGUUUCUUAAGUCUGAUGUGAAAGCCCCCGGCUCAACCGGGGAGGGUCAUUGGAAACUGGGAGACUUGAGUGCAGAAGAGGAGAGUGGAAUUCCAUGUGUACGGUGAAAUGCGUAGAUAUAUGGAGGAACACCUGUGGCGAAGCGGCUCUCUGGUCUGUAACUGACGCUGAGCUCGAAAGCGUGGGGAGCAAACAGGAUAGAUACCCUGUAGUCCACGCCGUAAACGAUGAGUGCUAAGUGUUG